GUCCUCACUUUAGCAGCCCAUAUACUAAAACUGGAACAAUACAGAGAAGAUUAGCAUGGCCCCUGUGCAAGGAUGACACACGACUUCAUGAAGUGUUUCAUAUUUUU
RNAcentral lists this small nuclear RNA (107 nucleotides) under Ovis aries (sheep). Lineage: Eukaryota; Metazoa; Chordata; Mammalia; Artiodactyla; Bovidae. The record is from RNAcentral.